CCGCGUGAGUGAUGAAGGUUUUCGGAUCGUAAAGCUCUGUUGCCAGGGAAGAACGUCUUAAGAGUAACUGCUCUAAGAGUGACGGUACCUGAGAAGAAAGCCCCGGCUAACUACGUGCCAGCAGCCGCGGUAAUACGUAGGGGGCGAGCGUUGUCCGGAAUUAUUGGGCGUAAAGCGCGCGCAGGCGGCUGUUUAAGUCUGGUGUUUAAUCCUGGGGCUCAACCCCGGGUCGCACUGGAAACUGGACGGCUUGAGUGCAGAAGAGGAGAGUGGAAUUCCACGUGUAGCGGUGAAAUGCGUAGAUAUAGGAAGGAACACCAGUGGCGAAGG
RNAcentral lists this ribosomal RNA (330 nucleotides) under uncultured Paenibacillus sp. RNAcentral's name for it is "bacterial SSU rRNA". It matches the Rfam family "Bacterial small subunit ribosomal RNA", at positions 397 to 721 of the family's 1533-position model. Lineage: Bacteria; Bacillati; Bacillota; Bacilli; Caryophanales; Paenibacillaceae. The record is from RNAcentral.